This 253-nucleotide ribosomal RNA is filed under the name uncultured bacterium. RNAcentral describes it as "partial 16S ribosomal RNA". It matches the Rfam family "Bacterial small subunit ribosomal RNA", at positions 524 to 776 of the family's 1533-position model. The record is from RNAcentral.
UACGAAGGGGGCUAGCGUUGUUCGGAAUUACUGGGCGUAAAGCGCGCGCAGGCGGCUUUUCAAGUCAGGGGUGAAAGCCCGGAGCUCAACUCCGGAACUGCCUCUGAGACUGUGAAGCUUGAGUACGGGAGAGGUGAGUGGAAUUCCGAGUGUAGAGGUGAAAUUCGUAGAUAUUCGGAAGAACACCGGUGGCGAAGGCGGCUCACUGGCCCGUUACUGACGCUCAGGCGCGACAGCGUGGGGAGCAAACAGG